GGACCCGCACAAGCGGUGGAGCAUGUGGUUUAAUUCGAUGCAACGCGAAAAACCUUACCUACUCUUGACAUACUUGGAAGCUCUUGUAAUGAGAGUGUGCCUUUUGGAACCAAGAUACAGGUGCUGCAUGGCUGUCGUCAGCUCGUGUCGUGAGAUGUUCCGUUAAGUCGGAUAACGAGCGCAACCCUUACCCUUAUUUGCCAGCGAUUCGGUCGGGAACUAUAAGGGGACUGCCGGUGAUAAACCGGAGGAAGGUGAGGACGACGUCAAGUCAUCAUGGCCCUUACGAGUAGGGCUACACACGUGCUACAAUGGGGAAUACAGACGGACGCUAAGCCGCGAGGUGGUGCUAAUCUCAUAAACCUUCUCGUAGUCCGGAUUGGAGUCUGCAACUCGACUCCAUGAAGUCGGAAUC
RNAcentral lists this ribosomal RNA (415 nucleotides) under uncultured bacterium. RNAcentral's name for it is "bacterial SSU rRNA". It matches the Rfam family "Bacterial small subunit ribosomal RNA", at positions 917 to 1333 of the family's 1533-position model. The record is from RNAcentral.